UGGGGAAUUUUGGACAAUGGGCGAAAGCCUGAUCCAGCAAUGCCGCGUGUGUGAAGAAGGCCUUCGGGUUGUAAAGCACUUUUGUCCGGAAAGAAAUCCUUGGCUCUAAUACAGUCGGGGGAUGACGGUACCGGAAGAAUAAGCACCGGCUAACUACGUGCCAGCAGCCGCGGUAAUACGUAGGGUGCAAGCGUUAAUCGGAAUUACUGGGCGUAAAGCGUGCGCAGGCGGUUUGCUAAGACCGAUGUGAAAUCCCCGGGCUCAACCUGGGAACUGCAUUGGUGACUGGCAGGCUAGAGUAUGGCAGAGGGGGGUAGAAUUCCACGUGUAGCAGUGAAAUGCGUAGAGAUGUGGAGGAAUACCGAUGGCGAAGGCAGCCCCCUGGGCCAAAUACUGACGCUCAUGCACGAAAGCGUGGGGAGCAAACAGGAUUAGAUACCCUGGUAGUCCACGCCCUAAACGAUGUCAACUAGUUGUUGGGGAUUCAUUUCCUUAGUAACGUAGCUGACGCGUGAAGUUGACCGCCUGGGGAGUACGGUCGCAAGAUUAAAACUCAAAGGAAUUGACGGGGUCAUAGCUGUUUCCU
This 586-nucleotide ribosomal RNA is filed under the name uncultured bacterium. RNAcentral describes it as "partial 16S ribosomal RNA". It matches the Rfam family "Bacterial small subunit ribosomal RNA", at positions 355 to 1375 of the family's 1533-position model. The record is from RNAcentral.